Molecule: unclassified non-coding RNA, 355 nt
Filed under: soil metagenome
Description: partial contains 5.8S ribosomal RNA, internal transcribed spacer 2, and large subunit ribosomal RNA
Rfam family: 5.8S ribosomal RNA (bases 1-120)
Source: RNAcentral
GAUGAAGAACGUAGCGAAAUGCGAUAAGUAAUGUGAAUUGCAGAAUUCAGUGAAUCAUCGAAUCUUUGAACGCAAAUUGCGCCCAUUAGUAUUCUAGUGGGCAUGCCUGUUCGAGCGUCAUUAAGUCCACUUAAGCCCUGCUUAGUGUUGGGAGACUGCUCCAGCGGUGCUACCCUGUAGCUACCCUGCAGCUCCUCAAAGACAGCGGCGGAGUUGUGGUAUCCUCUGAGCUUAGUAACUUGUUCUAGCUUUCGAGUACACCACUUCCCCUGCCGUAAAACCCUUAAUUUUUAAUGGUUGACCUCGGAUCAGGUAGGAAUACCCGCUGAACUUAAGCAUAUCAAUAAGCGGAGGA